This 124-nucleotide ribosomal RNA is filed under the name Ochotona princeps (American pika). The record is from RNAcentral. Lineage: Eukaryota; Metazoa; Chordata; Mammalia; Lagomorpha; Ochotonidae.
AUCUACGGCCAUGCCACCCUGAACACACCUGAUCUAGGAAACUAAGCAGGGUUGGGCCUGGUUAGUACUUGGAUGGGAGAUUCUAACUCUUCCACAAUCAGCUGGAAAACACACCUCUUCGAUG